This 22-nucleotide ribosomal RNA is filed under the name Acacia fasciculifera. RNAcentral's name for it is "partial large subunit ribosomal RNA". The record is from RNAcentral. Lineage: Eukaryota; Viridiplantae; Streptophyta; Magnoliopsida; Fabales; Fabaceae.
CGCGACNCCAGGUCAGGCGGGG